GACAGAGGGUGCGAACGUUGUUCGGAAUUACUGGGCGUAAAGCGAGUGUAGGCGGUCUGAAAAGUCGGGUGUGAAAGCCCUGGGCUCAACCCAGGAAGUGCACUCGAAACUGCCAGGCUAGAGUAUCGGAGAGGUUGGUGGAAUUCUCGGUGUAGAGGUGAAAUUCGUAGAUAUCGAGAGGAACACCGAUGGCGAAGGCAGGUCUCUGGGCCGAUACUGACGCUGAGGAGCGAAAGCGUGGGGAGCGAACAGG
This 253-nucleotide ribosomal RNA is filed under the name uncultured bacterium. RNAcentral's name for it is "partial 16S ribosomal RNA". It matches the Rfam family "Bacterial small subunit ribosomal RNA", at positions 524 to 776 of the family's 1533-position model. The record is from RNAcentral.